GUGGGGAAUAUUGGACAAUGGGGGGAACCCUGAUCCAGCCAUGCCGCGUGUGUGAAGAAGGCCUUUUGGUUGUAAAGCACUUUAAGCGAGGAGGAGGCUACCGAGAUUAAUACUCUUGGAUAGUGGACGUUACUCGCAGAAUAAGCACCGGCUAACUCUGUGCCAGCAGCCGCGGUAAUACAGAGGGUGCAAGCGUUAAUCGGAUUUACUGGGCGUAAAGCGCGCGUAGGUGGCCAAUUAAGUCAAAUGUGAAAUCACCGAGCUUAACUUGGGAAUUGCAUUCGAUACUGGUUGGCUAGAGUAUGGGAGAGGAUGGUAGAAUUCCAGGUGUAGCGGUGAAAUGCGUAGAGAUCUGGAGGAAUACCGAUGGCGAAGGCAGCCAUCUGGCCUAAUACUGACACUGAGGUGCGAAAGCAUGGGGAGCAAACAGGAUUAGAUACCCCGGUAGUCC
This 451-nucleotide ribosomal RNA is filed under the name uncultured bacterium. RNAcentral's name for it is "partial 16S ribosomal RNA". It matches the Rfam family "Bacterial small subunit ribosomal RNA", at positions 354 to 796 of the family's 1533-position model. The record is from RNAcentral.